GGGGGUAAAAGCUCGUCUNCCAGAGGUUCNACCAAAACUNUAACUUAAAANCNCGAUUUNUNAAAUUGUCAUUUUNGAAAUUUGUCUGAUUAACUUCGGAUGAAACAAAUAUUCAAAACUUUCAACAACGGAUCUCUUGGUUCUCGCAUCGAUGAAGAACGCAGCGAAUUGCGAUAAGUAUUGUGAAUUGCAGAAUUUCGUGAAUCAUCGAAUCUUUGAACGCACAUUGCACCCUGUGGUAUUCCACAGGGUAUGCCUGUUUGAGCGUCAUUUCUCUCUCAAAACGCAAGUUUUGGUGUUGAGUGAUACUCGGGUUAAAUGGCUUGAGUUUGCUUGAAAAGUAUUGGCAAGGGAAGUGAGACUUCACUACAGCUGUUUAUUCAAUGUAUUAGGUUUAUCCAACUCGUUGAUUGACAGGUGGAAUGAGAUUUUGCUAAUAGGCCCGGCCUUACAACAAACAAACCAAAGUUGACCCUCAAUCAGGAGGUCCA
RNAcentral lists this ribosomal RNA (491 nucleotides) under [Candida] sp. UCLM 32A. Its description in RNAcentral is "eukaryotic LSU rRNA". The stretch from base 117 to 270 matches the Rfam family "5.8S ribosomal RNA". Lineage: Eukaryota; Fungi; Ascomycota; Saccharomycetes; Saccharomycetales. The record is from RNAcentral.